UGGUCUUGACAUCCCGAGAAUUUUCUGGAAACAGAGAAGUGCCUACGCUAAGAGGAAUUCGGAGACAGGUGGUGCAUGGUUGUCGUCAGCUCGUGUCGUGAGAUGUUGGGUUAAGUCCCGCAACGAGCGCAACCCUUAUUGCUAGUUACCAUCAUUAAGUUGGGGACUCUAGCGAGACUGCCAGUGAUAAACUGGAGGAAGGUGGGAUGACGUCAAGUCAUCAUGGCCCUUAUGUCCAGGGCGACACACGUGCUACAAUGGCCGGCACAGCGGGAAGCGAGGGGGCGACCUUGAGCGGAUCCCUCAAAGCCGGUACUCAGUUCGGAUUGCAGUCUGCAACUCGACUGCAUGAAGUUGGAAUCGCUAGUAAUCGUGGAUCAGCCAAGCCGCGGUGAAUACGUUCCCGGGCCUU
This 412-nucleotide ribosomal RNA is filed under the name uncultured Acholeplasma sp. Its description in RNAcentral is "bacterial SSU rRNA". It matches the Rfam family "Bacterial small subunit ribosomal RNA", at positions 976 to 1382 of the family's 1533-position model. The record is from RNAcentral. Lineage: Bacteria; Bacillati; Mycoplasmatota; Mollicutes; Acholeplasmatales; Acholeplasmataceae.